RNAcentral lists this long non-coding RNA (562 nucleotides) under Lathyrus oleraceus (garden pea). Its description in RNAcentral is "Pisum sativum (pea) long non-coding RNA (PSAT_LNC041076)". Lineage: Eukaryota; Viridiplantae; Streptophyta; Magnoliopsida; Fabales; Fabaceae. The record is from RNAcentral.
AUAGUAAUAACAAUAUCAAUCUUCUCAUUUCUUGAUAACAAUAUACAAAAUUUAGCAAAACAAGAACACUAAUAACACUAUCAAUCUUCUCAUUUCUUGAUAACAAUAUACAAAAUUUAGCAAAACACGAACACUAAUAACACUAUCAAUCUUCUCGUUUCUUAAUAACAAUAUACAAAACUUAGCAAAACAAGAAUACUAAUAACACUAUCAAUCUUCUCAUUUCUUGAUAACAAUAUACAAUAUUUAUCAAAACAAAAACACUAAUAACACUUUCAAUCUUCUCAUUUCUUGAUAACAAUAUACAAAAUUUAGCAAGACAAGAAUAGUAAUAACAAUAUCAAUCUUCUCAUUUCUUGAUAACAAUAUACAAAAUUUAGCAAGACAAGAACACUAAUAACACUAUCAAUCUUCUCAUUUCUUGAUAACAAUAUACAAAAUUUAGCAAAACAAGAACACUAAUAACACUAUCAAUCUUCUCAUUUCUUGAGAACAAUAUACAGAUAAGUAUGCUAAGAAAAAAGAAGCAAAGAAAUAACUCACAUAAUAGAGUCCUAAAGAU